This 484-nucleotide ribosomal RNA is filed under the name uncultured bacterium. RNAcentral describes it as "partial 16S ribosomal RNA". It matches the Rfam family "Bacterial small subunit ribosomal RNA", at positions 30 to 507 of the family's 1533-position model. The record is from RNAcentral.
AUUGAACGCUGGCGGCAGGCCUAACACAUGCAAGUCGAGCGGAUGAAGGGAGCUUGCUCCUGGAUUCAGCGGCGGACGGGUGAGUAAUGCCUAGGAAUCUGCCUGGUAGUGGGGGAUAACGUCCUGAAACGGGCGCUAAUACCGCAUACGUCCUGAGGGAGAUAGUUGGGGAUCUUCGGACCUCACGCUAUCUGAUGAGCCUAGGUCGGAUUAGCUAGUUGGUGGGGUAAAUGCCUACCAAGGCGACCAUCCGUAACUGGUCUGAGAGGAUGAUCAGUCACACUGGAACUGAGACACGGUCCAGACUCCUACGGGAGGCAGCAGUGGGGAAUAUUGGACAAUGGGCGAAAGCCUGAUCCAGCCAUGCCGCGUGUGUGAAGAAGGUCUUCGGAUUGUAAAGCACUUUAAGUUGGGAGGAAGGGCAGUAAGUUAAUACCUUGCUGUUUUGACGUUACCAACAGAAUAAGCACCGGCUAACUUCGUG